GAUGAACGCUGGCGGCGUGCUUAACACAUGCAAGUCGAACGGAAAGGCCAGUGCUUGCACUGGUGCUCGAGUGGCGAACGGGUGAGUAACACGUGGGUGAUCUGCCCUGCACUUUGGGAUAAGCCUGGGAAACUGGGUCUAAUACCAGAUAGGACCAUGCUUUGGAUGGUGUGGUGGAAAGUUUUUUCGGUGUGGGAUGAGCUUGCGGCCUAUCAGCUUGUUGGUGGGGUAAUGGCCUACCAAGGCGUCGACGGGUAGCCGGCCUGAGAGGGUGUACGGCCACAUUGGGACUGAGAUACGGCCCAGACUCCUACGGGAGGAAGCAGUGGGGAAUAUUGCACAAUGGGCGCAAGCCUGAUGCAGCGACGCCGCGUGGGGGAUGACGGCCUUCGGGUUGUAAACUCCUUUCGCAACUGACGAAGCUUUUUGUGACGGUAGGUUGAGAAGAAGCACCGGCUAACUACGUG
RNAcentral lists this ribosomal RNA (467 nucleotides) under uncultured bacterium. RNAcentral describes it as "partial 16S ribosomal RNA". It matches the Rfam family "Bacterial small subunit ribosomal RNA", at positions 28 to 507 of the family's 1533-position model. The record is from RNAcentral.